UUAAAAGCUAAAGGUGAAAACCUUGGUACUCAUAGACGAAGAAGGACGUGUUAAUCAACGAAAUACUUCAUUUAGUAUAAAAUUAUUUAAUACUAAAAGAAUAAUAAAAUAAAAAUUGAAGUUUUCCGAAUAGGAUAAAACCUUUUAAUUUUAAAUAUAAAUUUAUUAAAGUUAACCUAGGGAACUGAACCAUCUUAGUACCUAGAGGAAAAAAAAGUAACAACGAUUUUCUAAGUAGUGGUGAACGAAAAGGAAAAAUAAAUUUUUAAAUAAAUUUAUAAUUGUCUAUAUUAAUAAGAUUUUUUAAAAUCUAAGUAAAAUGGAAAUAAAUUCCGUUUGAAUUAACGAGGUCCACCUCGUAAGACUUAAUACUCAUGAGUAACCGAUAGUAAAAAUAAGUACCGUGAGGGAAAGGUGAAAAGAACCCCGUAAGGGGAGUGAAAUAGAACUUAAAACCUUUUAAAAAAAGCUUAUUUGUAAUAGAAGGAUUAUUUUUUGAAUCUAACUGUGUGCCUGUUGAAGAAGGAGCCGAUGAGUCAUAGUAUAAUGUAAGCUUUUGGUUAAGGAAAAAACGAAGCCAUAGUGAAAGCGAGCUAAUUUUAAAUAUUAAGCAUAAAAAUAAGUUUACUACUAUGGACCCGAAUCCGAAUGAUCUAACUAUAUCCAAGAUGAAACUUAUAUUAAACUAAGUGAAGGUCUAAAUUGAUUAAUGUUGCAAAAUUAUCAAAGGAGGUGUGGUUAGAGGUGAAAUGCCAAACGAAUUCGGAGCUAGCUGGUUCUCCCCGAAAUGUAUUUAAGUACAGCUGUUAAUAUUAUUUUAUAGGGGUAAAGCACUGUUUAAAUUAAGGCUAAUUUUUAAUUAGUAUUUAAAUUAUUCAAACUAUGAAUACUAUAUAAAAUUAUUUUAUUAUCAAGUGAGACUUAGGGGGUAAUCUCUUAUAGUCAAAAGGGAAACAACCCAGACCAUAAGUUAAGGUCCUUAAAUAUUGUUAAGUUAAAAAGGAAGUGAAAUUAUAAAGACAUCUAGUAGGUUGGCUUAGAAGCAGCAAUCCUUUAAAGAGUGCGUAAUAGCUCACUAGUUUAGUGAUUUUGUGCCUAAAAUUUUACGGGAAUAAACAAUAUACCGAAACUAUGGGAUAUAAAAAUCGGUAGGGGAGCGUUCUACCUUAGAAUAAAGUUUAAAUGAAAAUUUAAAUGAACGAAGUAGAAGUGAGAAUAUCGGUUUGAGUAACGAAAUUAUCAGUUUAAAUCUGAUACUCCUGAAACCUAAGGUUUCCUGUGUUACAGUUUUUCUACGCAGGGUUAGUCGAGACCUAAAAUGAGAUGUAAAGUGUAAUUGAUGGGUAAUAGAUUAAUAUUUCUAUACCAUAUUUAUUUUGCAAUAAACAACAAAUUUUUAUUUAUUUAUUAAAUCUUGGUUAUUUUAAUUAUUUAAUAAAUUUAAAAUUUCACGAAAAACUUUAUGUGCAUAAAAAAUAAAUAUGCUCGUACCGUAAACUGACACAAGUGGGUAAGUAUAAAAGUACAUAGGAGACAAGAAAACUCUCUCUAAGGAACUCGGCAAAUUGAUCCUGUAACUUCUGGAUAAAGGAUGCCUAAAAUUUAAAAAUUAGGUUGCAAAAAAUAGACCCGAGCGACUGUUUAUCAAAAACACAGGUUUCCGCUAAGUUGAAAAACAAUGUAAGGAAACUGACGCCUGCCCAGUGCCGGUAGGUUAAAAAAAUAAAAUAAGUAUUAAAAAUUUUUUAAGCCCUGGUAAACGGCGGCUGUAACUAUAACGGUCCUAAGGUAGCGAAAUUCCUUGUCGGGUAAGUUCCGACCUGCACGAAAGGCGUAACGACUUGGGUACUGUCUUUGAGAGAGACUUGGUGAAAUAGAAAUGUCUGUGAAGAUGCGGACUUCCUACAUCAGGACAGAAAGACCCUAUGAAGCUUUACUAUAACUUGAAAUUGAAUUUUAAAAUAAAAUUGUGUAGAAUAAGUGGGAGAUAUAUAAUUUAUUUUUUAUUAAAUUAAUUAAUCAUUAUUGAAAUACCACUCUUUUAAAAUUUAAAUUCUAAUAAAAAUUCUGUAAACCAGUUUUUAGACAGUUUUAAGUAGGUAGUUUGACUGGGGCGGUCACCUCCUAAAAAGUAACGGAGGUAUUUACAAAGGUUUUUAAAAUCAAUUUAAAAGAUUAAGUAUAAAAGCAUAAAUAAGCUUGACUGUUAGACAUAUAUGUCAAUCAGGGACGAAAGUCGGUUUUAGUGAUCCAAUAAUAUUUAAGUGGUAAAUGUUAUUGCUUAAUGGAUAAAAGUUACUCUAGGGAUAACAGGCUGAUCUCCCUUGAGAGUUCUUAUUAAUGGGGAGGUUUGGCACCUCGAUGUCGGCUUGUCGCAUCCUGGAGCGGUAGUACGUUCCAAAGGUUGGUCUGUUCGCCCAUUAAAGCGGCACGUGAGCUGGGUUCAGAACGUCGUGAGACAGUUCGGUCCGUAUCCGAUGUAGGCGUUAGAACAUUGAAAGAUUUUCUUUUAGUACGAGAGGAUCAAAGAAACUAUACCUAUGGUGUAUCAGUUAUUCUACCAAGAGUAUUUUGUUGAGAAGCUAAGUAUAGAUAGAAAAAGUUUAACCACUGAAAGCAUCUAAGUGGGAAAAAUAUCUUAAGAUAAAUGUUCUUUAUCGAUUUUUAAUUUUUAAAAACGAGUAAGAAAUCAGUAAGAUUAACUGUUAAAUAGAUAAAAUAUGUUUAAGUAUAGUAAUAUACUAAGCUUUAUUAUACUAAUAAUUCGAGUAAUUGAACU
This 2779-nucleotide ribosomal RNA is filed under the name Nephromyces sp. ex Molgula occidentalis. Its description in RNAcentral is "23S ribosomal RNA". It matches the Rfam family "Bacterial large subunit ribosomal RNA". The record is from RNAcentral. Lineage: Eukaryota; Apicomplexa; Aconoidasida; Nephromycida.